RNAcentral lists this ribosomal RNA (984 nucleotides) under Triticum aestivum (bread wheat). Its description in RNAcentral is "partial small subunit ribosomal RNA". The record is from RNAcentral. Lineage: Eukaryota; Viridiplantae; Streptophyta; Magnoliopsida; Poales; Poaceae.
AUGUCGGUGCAGGUUUCCUUCUUGGCAGGGUUGUUCCAUUCCGGUUUGAUCAGGAGGGCGCUAGUUGUCGCCCCUAAGACAGUUCUCACUCAUUGGAUUAAGGAGCUUUCGGUUGUCGGCCUCAGCCACAUGNNNNNNNNGUACUAUGGUUCCAACAUGAAUAUUCGUGACAAUGAGCUUCAACAUGCCUUCAAGGAGGGAGGUAUCUUAUUGACAACAUAUGAUAUUGUCCGGAUCAAUUACCAUCCAAUAAGAGGUGACUUCUAUAAUGACACCGGCGACGAGGAGGAGGACUUUUGGAAUUAUGUUGUUCUUGAUGAGGCACAUUAUAUCAAGAACCCCAAUACACAAAGAGCCCAAAGCUUAGUUGAAAUACCUUGUGUCCAUCGGAUUGCCAUUAGUGGAACACCUAUUCAAAAUAACUUGAUGGUUCAGAACAAGGAAUUAAGAGAACGGAUAAAGCCAUAUUUCUUGCGACGCAUGAAAAUUAAAGUGUCCCUUGAGACUGGGUUGACAGAUGAUAAAAAGCUUCCAAAGAAGGAUGGGCUAAUUAUCUGGCUGAAAUUAACAGAUUGCCAGAGACGUCUAUAUGAAGCUUUUCUGAACAUUUGUGCAAUUAUGUCUGUUUCAUGUUUUUCCUUUUCCUCAACAGUAUUGAAAAAAAUAUGUGAUCACCCACUGAUAUUAACUCAGGGAGCUGCUGAGGACAUCUUGGAAGGCAUGGAUGGAGAUUUUAGUACUCAGGAUAUAGUGAUGGUUGAAAAAAUGGCCAUGAACCUCGCAGAUAUGGCUCAUGAUGAUGAUGCAGUACAAUUCAGUCAGGAAGUCUCAUGCAAGUUAUCUUUUAUCCUGUCUUUGUUGCCGAAUCUUCUUGAAGAGGGCCACCAUGUUCUGAUAUUUUCUCAGACUCGUAAAAUGCUAAACCUUAUUCAGGUCUGUUGUCAAUUCUUGGAGUGCAUGCCGUGUUUUUGUGAUAUACUAUAA